UACGUAGGGUGCAAGCGUUGUCCGGAUUCAUUGGGCGUAAAGAGCUCGUAGGCGGCUUGGCAAGUCAGAUGUGAAACCCUCAGGCUUAACCUGGGGAUGCCAUCUGAUACUGCUAUGGCUAGAGUGCGGUAGGGGACUACGGAAUUCCUGGUGUAGCGGUGAAAUGCGCAGAUAUCAGGAGGAACACCGGUGGCGAAGGCGGUAGUCUGGGCCGUUACUGACGCUGAGGAGCGAAAGCGUGGGGAGCGAACAGG
Molecule: ribosomal RNA, 254 nt
Filed under: uncultured Ferrithrix sp.
Lineage: Bacteria; Bacillati; Actinomycetota; Acidimicrobiia; Acidimicrobiales; Acidimicrobiaceae
Description: partial 16S ribosomal RNA
Rfam family: Bacterial small subunit ribosomal RNA
Source: RNAcentral